Andrographis paniculata is the source of this 2796-nucleotide RNA transcript. RefSeq lists it as uncharacterized. NCBI's taxonomy places the organism in Eukaryota, Viridiplantae, Streptophyta, Magnoliopsida, Lamiales, Acanthaceae. The transcript is spliced from 6 exons. The record is from RefSeq and is a predicted model, not a curated record.
AGUUCCCUUUUAUGUCUCCUGAGAUGCAGUGACCUCACAUCCCCCCACUUGGGCGACCAGCGGCGGGGGAACAGCUCCAAGGGUCGUCGGCAACUUUUUUCCACCACGGGGGAAGCUCCGAUGUCUAGGCUGAAAUCAGGCCCCCAGGCCAGCCAUCCUCCCCCGACGCGCUCCGGGAGGGCGACCCCGGCGUCUGGCAGGACUCGAUUUGGCCUCGUGCCCUUCGCGAAGGACCGAGACGAGUUUCCUGAGAAAAUCUCCGAUGCCCUCAGCAGGGCAUAAACGCAUUUGUAUUCUCCUUCGGGAUCUUGGCCCCGACUGUGUUGGAUAUGGUAGCGAUUUUAGGUCUCCCUUCGAAAGGGGUAGAGCCUCCUCCAUCCCCAUCAUAUAAGGCCGACCGAUUACCGAUUCUCUUUCCUUAUGACAGCAAUACCAUUGUGAUUCAGUUCCUUGCAUCAAACAUGCUUUCUGGCUCCGUUGAUCCUUUGGAGCACAAUGCUUUCCGUAUGUAUUGGUUUAGCAAGUAUUUCAUUUGUUGCGCGUUGAAAGGAUUCAUCCGGGAAGUGGAACCGAUUGUACAUGUUCUUAUUUCCGGGGCGGAGAUAGAUUUAGCCUUGUAUUUCCUGGGUUUGCUAUAUCAUGGUAUAAAUGAAUUUAUGGGGAAGCUUUUUGUGUCCACUUCCCGUGAACUAGUGAGAGUGGGUCCUCUAUGGUUUCUUGAGUUGUGGGUCCGGCUAUAUUUCCCGAAUCUAAUUAGCCCGCGCCCUGAACUCCCAAUCGGCCCGCUCACAAUUUCGGGUCCUCAUCUGACGUCGUAUUCUCCUGUUCAAGACGAUCUCCAUUCAAUCACCUACUCCCUCUUACACGAGACUGAUCGAUCCUUAACCGGAUUUUGCCCUUUGUCCGGUUUCUUUGCACCUCUUGAUUCUUCAAUCUCCGUAACUACCAACCUCCCUGGUUCUAUGUACUAGAACAAGUGCCUGACCGCUCGAAUUUUGAUUAGAGGUUUGUCCAUGGGAUCCCGAUAUAAUCCGUUGCUUGGAGAGGUCUAUCAACCUCAGUACUCUGCGCACCAAUUUUUCCUAGUUCAAGGGAUCCCCCUGUUCGGUUUUCUCCUACCGCCCCUUGGGCUCGAGCCAAAGUCUAGGGUCGGCUCUUGUUGAUGAUUGGCAUUCACUUUGCCUUCUUUCGAUGACUGGUGGGCCGAUUUUCUAAUUCACUCGAACGUGACUGCCUUUCGGCGAUCUCUAGUCAAACCGGUUGAUGGACAUUCGAGUGGUGAGGGGUCGCCUAACGCUGUCUCCGAGGAAGUAGAGGAAUUGCCCAUGCCCUCAGCUAUAGGCACACCUCCGUUAACAGGCAUCCGAUCCAUAUCACUUUCUGCCAUUCGAUGUUCCCGAAGGCUAAUCUCAAAACCAGCCGUGCCCAGGUCGCGGCCAAAGAGUCCCGCCAAACGACCAGCUCCAUCGCCACCUUCCCCUCAGGUUCCUCCCAAGAAGGCGACGCCCUUGUCCUCUAUUGUCCCGACGGAAUAAUCACCUUCGUGGACAUCUCUUGCUUAGAUUUUCCAUACGGGAAUAGGCUCUGAAGCUGUCGUUAAGUCGGCAGAGCGAUCUAUCUCCCCUCCAUCGUCCUUCCAGCUUUCGCACGUAGCUACGACUCCGGAAAGGGCGGUUGAAUCGGCCCGGACUCACUCCCCUGUCUCGAUCAGGCCCAAGAAUGUCUGGACAUCCACCUCUUCACCCGCUCCUUCAGUCCCAAAGGUAGUCCCUGCCAACAUUUAGGCAUAUUUCGCCCAAGUCCUUGUUACCAAUGCCUCUGCCCCUUCUAGCCUCGAGGAUCUGGAUCCGGAUCCCUUUGAUGUGUAUCAAUCUGCUCUGCCGGAGGAUUCGAUCAUCUUGGACAGCCUACAGGCAUCUGUUCUGACUGCGGCCGCCUCCCUGUCGUUGGAUCAGCCUCGUCACAGGCAGUUGGAGGAUCUUGCUGACCGCCUGGGGGAAACUUCCGGGCACCUAAAGAUGUUGCAGCGUAUCCGCAAUGCGAAUGACAGUAAACUCAAAGAGUUGGCGGCCUUGGAAGCACAAAAGGCUGCCUGCGCUCAGAGCUUUCUAGAUGAGAAACAACACACUGAAGAUGAGAUGGCGUAUAUAGAGGGCCUUCGUGCUGAGGAAGAAGCUCCACGGGCCGAAUUGAGCAGAAUUGAGGAGCGAUUGAAAGAGAUCCCACCAGAGUCAGAAAGGGUGGCUGCAAGUCUUGCUUCCAGGACUGCUCGGAGAAUGGAGAUGUACGAUCAAGCGAGGGCUCUGGAUGAGCCCUUGUUUGGACUCUGCGGCCAGAAACUCGUCUUCGAGAACAACUGCCAACGGGCUGAGAGAGGGUUAGAGGAACUGCGUUCGGUGUGGCUUGGCAUGAUGGCCCUAUAGACUUUGUUGCAUCCUGAGACUUCGGGGCCAGCCAGCCGACUUCCCAUCAUGCUGGUCGCUGUGGCUGAGGAGUCAUGCACUGCCGAUACAGCGCCCGAGCCACCGGCUGUAAGUAUAUCCGUUGUUGGUAUUGGGCUUGUGGACGUCCAUGUCACUCAUGAUGUAGGUCUGAGAGAUCCCCCUGUGGGUCAGUAACUUGUUCCGCAUUCGUGUAGCUUGAAUUGAAUCAUUCCCUCCCCUUUUUGCUUUUGUCUCUUUUUUAAUGAUCUGUGAUCGGUGGAGGAAAUUGUUUUGGUAGAUAUGAAUCCACUGUUGUGUCAGUCUUUCUUUGAUGGUAAAUCAUUUUCUCAAUCCAGGUUAACCCCGUGCUGUC